This 28-nucleotide small RNA is filed under the name Bombyx mori (domestic silkworm). RNAcentral's name for it is "ovarian small RNA-15833". Lineage: Eukaryota; Metazoa; Arthropoda; Insecta; Lepidoptera; Bombycidae. The record is from RNAcentral.
GAGCGGUAAACCAUACUUUCCAUUGCAG